GUUUUUGUUUCAUUCACCAAGUUUAUUUUGAGUCUUACUAGGCAUUGUGUUCAGCCCAAAAAGAAUCAAAUAUUGAAGAAUAUUUCUAUUGCCCUGGCUUGAACUAUAUUAAAUUUGUUUAUCGUGUUAUAAUCUUUAUCAAAGACAUCAACUAAAAUAUCCAGUCAUAAUAAAAAGGUAUUUACAAGGAAAGGUAUUUCUAGAGGAAA
Leopardus geoffroyi (Geoffroy's cat) is the source of this 209-nucleotide long non-coding RNA. RefSeq lists it as uncharacterized. The record is from RefSeq and is a predicted model, not a curated record. Lineage: Eukaryota; Metazoa; Chordata; Mammalia; Carnivora; Felidae. The transcript has 2 exons.